Molecule: non-coding RNA, 1105 nt
Organism: Chrysemys picta bellii (western painted turtle)
Lineage: Eukaryota; Metazoa; Chordata; Testudines; Emydidae
Source: RefSeq, a predicted model, not a curated record
GAGAGUCGCUGCUCUAGGCUCACGUGUCACAACGCCACUUGCAGGCUGGCGGGACAGAACUACCCAGGCAGCCUCCUCCUCCCAAAGAGCCCCUCCCGCCUUGCCGCCUGCAGGGGGCAAGCGCAUUCAUUGGCUACUGCGCCGCCCAAUCAGGACGGGAGCUGUUAUGCCGAUAAUAACUGUAAGCCUGAGGCGUGAAGGCGGCUCCUGAAGUCGCUGGUUCUAGUCUCAGGCUGGACGCCGCUGGGGGGCUCAGGUCUGUAUCCCUCAGCCCGGCCUCGAAGCUGCUGUAUUCUUGCGGGCCCCAGCCCGGAUAACCUCUUUCUCUCCAACCCCAGAGCCUGCUGCAAAGGGACAUCCAAGGACCCCCACGGAGCAUGGCCCCAAGCAUUGCAAGGCCAAAAAUCCUGUCCCUUUCUCCCUGCACUCAGUGCUGCAUUGGAUCCACUGCAUCUGGGGCCCUCUGUGGCUAAAGGGGCAGGAUUUGUCCACAAAAAUAGGCAAAUCUCCAUUAGCAGUGUAGAGAUAUGACACAUCAUUUAACAGUUCUGAUUCUAUCCACUUGAGAACUCUUCUGUCAUUGUCACUAUCUUCCCAGGUAUGCCAAGUCACUUCAUCAGAUACGACAAACUUGCUUGAUGCACUGAAUCAAAGGCCUGAUGGAAGUCUAUAAAAAGUGCUGCUCAUGGCUUAUGAAAUGCAGCCAUCUUCUCAAAAAGCUGUCUCCAGAUGCUGCUGCUGAGACCAGGACUCGAUAGAUGACAACGACCCACCGGACCACGAUCACCACUGGAACAGCUACUGCAGCGGAGAAUGGCGAUGAAUGACUAUGAAGAAUCAGGCAAAGGCCCCAGAGCUGAGCUGGCAGCAAUCAGCCCUGAUGACUUGAAACACCAUUUCUCAUCAGAUGACGGAGGGAGAGAGAUUUCAGUCUCUAAUGCUUUGAUCGCCCUAAGGAGUUCAGAACAGAAAGCCAUUUGAUAGCUUGGUUGUAAGAAGAGCUGAAUCAGACUAAUUUCAGCCCAUUUUUUUUUUUCUUUUCAAAGUAGGAGACACAUUUUUGUCUCUGCGAACCCAUACAUCAGUGACUGUUGAUCACCAAUGA